Molecule: ribosomal RNA, 559 nt
Filed under: uncultured bacterium
Lineage: Bacteria
Description: bacterial SSU rRNA
Rfam family: Bacterial small subunit ribosomal RNA
Source: RNAcentral
GGGAAACUGCCUGAUGGAGGGGGAUAACUACUGGAAACGGUAGCUAAUACCGCAUAAUGUCGCAAGACCAAAGAGGGGGACCUUCGGGCCUCUUGCCAUCAGAUGUGCCCAGAUGGGAUUAGCUAGUAGGUGGGGUAACGGCUCACCUAGGCGACGAUCCCUAGCUGGUCUGAGAGGAUGACCAGCCACACUGGAACUGAGACACGGUCCAGACUCCUACGGGAGGCAGCAGUGGGGAAUAUUGCACAAUGGGCGCAAGCCUGAUGCAGCCAUGCCGCGUGUAUGAAGAAGGCCUUCGGGUUGUAAAGUACUUUCAGCGGGGAGGAAGGUGUUGAGGUUAAUAACCUCAGCAAUUGACGUUACCCGCAGAAGAAGCACCGGCUAACUCCGUGCCAGCAGCCGCGGUAAUACGGAGGGUGCAAGCGUUAAUCGGAAUUACUGGGCGUAAAGCGCACGCAGGCGGUCUGUCAAGUCGGAUGUGAAAUCCCCGGGCUCAACCUGGGAACUGCAUUCGAAACUGGCAGGCUAGAGUCUUGUAGAGGGGGGUAGAAUUCCAGGU